This 232-nucleotide long non-coding RNA is filed under the name Elaeis guineensis (African oil palm). RNAcentral describes it as "long non-coding RNA (EGUI_LNC072597)". The record is from RNAcentral. Lineage: Eukaryota; Viridiplantae; Streptophyta; Magnoliopsida; Arecales; Arecaceae.
GCCCCUCUCUCUCCAGGGCCUCCUGGAGGGCGGCUACCUCGGCCGUCUUCGCUUGGAGGCGAGCAACCUUGGCCUGGCAGCGUUCCUCCGCCUGAAGGAGGUCCCUUCUCAUGCGGCUCGUCGCCUCGACAUAGGCGAAGAGCUGGUGCCCAAUCUGCAAGGAUGGAUAGAGAAUUACGACUAAGGCCGAGUGACCAUGCAAAUAAACAUCCACUUACCUCAAGGAAGGACC